ACUUGACAUUGCACAUAAUAUAUCUAAGAAAGGGAUCAACUCAUGCAUACAAUGCUCAAUCUCCAUUGUUCUACCCUUUUCCCAAACAUACAAUUACACAAUCAUUCCCAAAUGUCAAAUCCAACUCACAUCUCUCACCAAAAGAUUCUAAGAACAUUAACUCUUUCUCUUUGAAAUCUACAAGAGAUUUUUCACAACCUCAAAACAUUACUUAGCUCCUAACAACUUUGCUAGCCCCCUUUUUCUUUCUUUUUCUUUUCUUUUCAUUUUUUUUUUUUUUUUUUUUUUUUUUUUUUUUUUUUUUUU
This 306-nucleotide long non-coding RNA is filed under the name Brassica napus (rape). RNAcentral's name for it is "long non-coding RNA (BNAP_LNC025540)". The record is from RNAcentral. Lineage: Eukaryota; Viridiplantae; Streptophyta; Magnoliopsida; Brassicales; Brassicaceae.